This 3526-nucleotide long non-coding RNA is filed under the name Sus scrofa (pig). Its description in RNAcentral is "lncRNA (ENSSSCG00015026476.1)". Lineage: Eukaryota; Metazoa; Chordata; Mammalia; Artiodactyla; Suidae. The record is from RNAcentral.
UGUAAUAUGAAUAGCGAAAAAAUCAUGAUAUAGCUGUCGUAGGGAAAUAAGGGAAGAAAAUGCUUAGCGCAGUGGUUAACGAAUCCGACUAGGAACCAUGAGGUGGCGGGUUCGGUCCCUGCCCUUGCUCAGUGGGUUAACGAUCCGGCGUUGCCGUGAGCUGUGGUGCAGGUUGCAGACGCGGCUCGGAUCCCGCGUUGCUGUGGCUCUGGCGUAGGCCGGCGGCUGCAGCUCUGAUUCAACCCCUAGCCUGGGAACCUCCAUAUGCUGCGGGAGCGGCCCAAGAAAUGGCAAAAAGACAUAAAUAAAUAAAUAAAUAAAUAAUAGUAAAAAAUAUGUUGACAUUUUUUGGAGGAAAAAAUGUCAUCAUCACCAGAUACUAAUUGAGACUCUGAUACUUUAAAAUUUCAUUUUAAUAAAUAUGAUUAUAUACUAGAGUCAAAUAACUCUUGGGGAAGAAUUUAAGAUUAGGAUAUAAGGUUCUGACACAAAUACAAUUUUCUCCAGGAAAACUGCCCUGAACCCACAAGGGUUCGUUCAGUGUUAUAUGUGAACAGUCUAUAAUAGUCUAAGCCUUCCCGUCAGAGUCAACACAUAUGCUCCUAUAGGCAGUCGGUUGUCGGUCCGCCCCUGGGCUGAGGGUCAAGGUGGGUGGGGAGGUGUGUAUGGUGGUAAUUCCUGUAUCCUGGCCAUCAACAAGCAGCACCUACAACACUGGCUUUCAGUAGGUGUUGUUGGCUUAGUGUUAAGUGAAAGAGAUAGGCCUCUGGAACAGCAAAGGUUAGUCUGGUUGAAGAGAUAGAAAAACUAUAAAUUCCACCCCUAGGUCUUAGAAUUACAUGGUUUACUUUUGCUCACUGUUUAAUGUUCUGGAUUGCAAACUAUUUUACAACCUAAAUUUAUUUUGAAAUGUGUUCUUAUCAGAGUCUCUUGGCACACUUUAGGCACAAUUACAAACCAGUGGCCAUUUGUGAAUUUGCAUCACCGUCCUAAUUUCAUUAGUUUUUGUUAGGAAGCAUGGACUUAGGGGGAAAAAUGUAAUAACAUUGGUUUAAAAAGGGCAAAAAAAAGCAUUCAUUACUCUUUGAUUAAAUUUCUAAUCAGUAUUCAUUUCCAGUUUCUUCCAAGUUUCACUAGAACAUAGCAAAUAAAAAACAAAUCACCACGUCUGGCAAUAUUUAAAAUAUGAAUGUCACUUUCCAAAUUCAUUAUUUUCCUUUCCUCAAGGCAACAGACAGCUUAGCUUUCAUGGCAAGAAAAAUAGCUCCUCUGUGGUCAUUUCUAUGCAUUAAAAGAUUUUAAAUUUUCCAAGACAUUAUUCCAGUUUGAUCUCACACAUGCUGAAGGCAAACACAGACUAUUUACAUUAUGCUUUUUCUCCAAGUGAAUGACUUUUGCUAUAUUAUUCCAAAACCUGUCAGUACAUCUGAUAAUAGCAGAGUCUUUCCACUUUUAAGUGUUGUUUAUUUCAUUAAUGUAAUAGAUGACAAGGACCUUCAUUUUUGAAAACGGCGUCAACAUCUUCCCCGCGGGAAGGUGAACUGAAGUGAAAUGAGGAAAAACAAUGAUGUCUAUUCCUUUCUUUGCCUGAGAUUGUUGUUAGGGAGAAGCCGGCCCCAUAAAUGAAUCUGAAGACGCUUUAAUGCAGAAGUCUCCUGCAACAUUGUUAAAUAUGAUUAAAGUGUCUCUAAUUCAUUUAAAUCUAUUAAAAUUGGUCUAUAUAGUAUUUUUAAUUUUAAAAAAUGUAUGUCACAAUUCAAGACCAGAGUAGAAAAAGAGAAAGAAGGAUUUAUUCAAAUCUUUUAUACUUAUUUAUCUGAAUCAGAAUAGACAAAUUCUCCAAUUGUUGAUUUUUUAUUCCUAGCAUCUGGUUUGAUUCUAGACUUUUUUUUUUUUUAGUUUUUUUUUUAAAUUUUAUUACUCAACUUUAAUUCUGGAAUAUUUAUUUUAAACUUUGUAUAUAAUUUUCUUGGUUAUGAAAAUGCUAUCUUUGUUCUCCCAACCUAAUCUGUACUUCAAAGCACUGUCCUGAACCCUCAUGUGUUAUUUUUAAAGUAAUAACUUCUGCAUUUCCAUGUAGCUCUGACAAGAGUCAGGCCUGACUUCCAACAAACUGAACUUCUAGGGUUUGCAAAAGUAGCCUUUCUCAGCUUUAAAGAUUUACUCAAGCAAUUCUCACAAGGAGACUAUGGUGUAUGGGUUUUAUUCUUUUUCCCAUUUUGCUGAAUUUUUUAAGGCUCAAGAGUUUCCCCAAGACCACGCAGCUCUCAAUAUGAAGUUAAGAUUCUAGUCUGAUAAGUUUGGCUCCAGCCUACAGAUACUUAACCUUCCUGCCCGUCAGGGUGAAAUGUUCCAUCCAUACAAUGUUUAUCUGUAACGUGCGUAUUCCCUCUCAUGGGCUUUGAAAUGUCUUUGCCUCCAAAAAAGUACAACAUAAAGUGGUGAAAUAUCCCACUCUUUUUACCUCGUGACUGUCUGAUGUCACACAUGCAUCUUCCGGUCUCUGGGAGGCUAUUAUUACACAACACUGCUGCUCCAUGUCUGUGCUCAAGUUGGCUUGCUGAUUCAUCUGGGCAAGUCACUGAUGCUGCCGAAGCUGGGUGUUCAGAUUUGAGCAGCGUCUCUCCAAACGACAGAGGCCGACCCCUGGGGGUAGCUAUUUACCCUCCCCGGGAUCAGCAACCCCUAUAAAAUUUUGCUUUAUGUGAAUGCAAAAACUCAGUUUGUUUUUAAUUUUGCCUUGAGGUAUGUCCGACGUGCUUGAGAAAAUAAGGCAUCCAUCCAUUAACUGGGCAGCGACAACAUGAGUCACCAUAUAACCAUGUGACAAAUUAAGUGGAGUCAUACACAUUGAAAGGAAAAAAAAACUUUCUGAAUUAAGUUAUUUGUUGGUAAUACAUGGAUGCAAUAUAAAUGCUUUAUGUAAAGGUAAGGAGUUCCCGUUGUGGCUCAGUGGGUUGAGAACCUGACAGUGUCCAUGGGGAUGUGGGUGGUAUCCCUGGCCUCACUCAGAGAGGUUAAGGAUCUGGGUUUGCCACAAGCUGCGGUGUAAGUCACAGCUGCGGCUCGGAUCUGGUGUUGCUGUGGCUGUGAUGCAGGCUGGCAGCUGCAGGUCCGAUUCAACCCCUAGCCCAUCAGGAACUUCCAUAUGUCACGGCUAUGGCAGUGAAAAAAAAAAAAAAGAUACUGAAAAAAAUAAUGCUUGCACAACAUUGUGAAGGUACUAAAUGCCAUUUUAAAGCUGUAUGCUUUAAAAUGGUUAAAUUUGGGGAGUUCCUGUUGUGACUCAGAGGCAAUGAAUCCGACUAGCAUCCAUGAGGACACAGGUUCAAUCCCUGGCCUUGCUCAGUGGGUUAAGGAUCCGGCAUUGCUGUGAGCUGUGGUGUAGGUCACAGACAUGGCUUGGAUCCUGUGUUGCUGUGACUGUGAUGUAGGCUGGCAGCUGCAGCUCCAGUUGGAUCCCUAGCCUGGCAACUUCCAUAUGCCACAGGUGCAGCUCUAAAAAGAAAAGAAAAAAAAAAAAAAA